This 262-nucleotide ribosomal RNA is filed under the name uncultured bacterium. Its description in RNAcentral is "partial 16S ribosomal RNA". It matches the Rfam family "Bacterial small subunit ribosomal RNA", at positions 793 to 1055 of the family's 1533-position model. The record is from RNAcentral.
GUCCACGCCGUAAACGAUGGGCACUAGAUGUGGGCGGUGUCGACUCCGCCCGUGUCGCAGCUAACGCACUAAGGCCCCGCCUGGGGAGUACGGCCGCAAGGCUAAAACUCAAAGGAAUUGACGGGGGCCCGCACAAGCAGCGGAGCAUGUGGUUUAAUUCGACGCAACGCGAAGAACCUUACCUGGGCUUGACAUGUCAGUGAAAACCUUAGAGAUAAGGUCCCUCUUCGGAGCGCUGUCACAGGUGGUGCAUGGCUGUCGU